CAGGGUUUUAAUGAGAUUCAAGCUCUUAUAAUUGUGUUCAUAUGAUGAUGUGAUGUUGAUUCAACAAUCUGAGAUAUGAUUCUGGAGAUCAUGUUGCUGUUUACCCCACAAAUGAUGCAGCGGUGGUCAACGGAAUAGGAGAGAGACUUGGAGUAGAUCUUGAUACUGUAAUCUCUCUCAAAAAUCUGGAUGAGGAAUCCAAUAAAAAGCACCCGUUCCCCUGUCCAACCACAUACCGCACGGCACUGACUCAUUACCUUGACAUCAACAACAUGCCUCGCACAAACGUGCUGUAUGAGCUAGCGCAGUACGCCUCUGAUCCGCAAGAACAAGAAAACAUGCGCAAGAUGGCAUCUGCUUCACCUGAAGGAAAGGUUAGGAUCACGUCAUAAUCACUGAUGUAUG
Sinocyclocheilus rhinocerous is the source of this 405-nucleotide long non-coding RNA. RefSeq lists it as uncharacterized. NCBI's taxonomy places the organism in Eukaryota, Metazoa, Chordata, Actinopteri, Cypriniformes, Cyprinidae. The record is from RefSeq and is a predicted model, not a curated record. The transcript has 3 exons.